Molecule: long non-coding RNA, 997 nt
Organism: Symphalangus syndactylus (siamang)
Lineage: Eukaryota; Metazoa; Chordata; Mammalia; Primates; Hylobatidae
Source: RefSeq, a predicted model, not a curated record
ACACCAGACAUUACUCAGCUCCCCACCCCUGACUUGAGACCUUCCACUAGCUGCCCCUUCCCCUAAAAACAGAGUGAUGUCAUAAUGGUAUCAGAAUGGCACCUGCUGACAACAACACAGAGAUAACAAGAGCAGACUUUCUGCAGUGCCUCCUGAGCAAUUGGUUGUCAUUGUCCUAAACAGAGCAGCUAGGUUAAAAAGAUUUAUCCAUAAUGUAACCUCCUGGCCCUCAGCUAUGGGUGGAAGCAGCACUUUCUGGUUUGACUUCCUAAUACCACAGACUCCACUUUGCCAGAAAAGUGACUUCUUGAUGAAUAGUCUGUUCAGAUAGGCCAAUUUGGAGUAUAUUCACAUUUGGCCACCUGCCGGAGCGUCAACGACCAAGAGGAGACCAGAUGAGUUUUCAAAGCAGUCCUCAAACACCCAGGACACACCUCAUCCUUUGCCUCAUGCUUUCUGCAAUGUUGCUGUUCAUGUUCAUCUUCCUAUUAACAUUUGCCAUAAUAACCCCUCAUUGACCACCAUCAUUCCUCCAUCCACCAGCCACUCAGCUCCUUCUCUAAAGUGCCCUCUAAUGGGCAGUGGCUUUGGUCUCUGUUUGGCAAAUUAUGUCCAGAGGGUUAACAUUAAUUUCUCUUUCUCCUAUUCCUCCCUCAUGCUAGACUCAGUCCAACACUCGGCCCCCUGUCAGGAAAGCCAUAGCAAAUCCUACUUUCUGCUAAAAUGAAGUUACAAGACACUUUUCCAGAGUAGUCACACUCAAUGAAGGGACCCAGGGAGUAUCGGAGUGUGAUGUAAUUGAAACCACAUGGAAAGACUAGAAAUACCUUGCUCCCAGUCAGAUAUAGUGAAACAGCUUACUCAAGACUGGACUAAGAUUUAGAAUAUAGGGGGGUUAGGGAGGAGAAAGAGAAAGAUCCUCAGAAGUGGAUUGUCCCUGAAUACAGGAUGAAAUCAUCUAGAUUUUUUUCUCCAAUUAAAUUUGCAUUUCAUUCAA